UAAGGAAUAUUGGUCAAUGGACGCAAGUCUGAACCAGCCAUGCCGCGUGGAGGAUUAAGGCCCUCUGGGUUGUAAACUCCUUUUAUCUGGGAAGAAAUGUACUUUUUCUUGAGUACUUGACGGUACCAGAGGAAUAAGCACCGGCUAACUCCGUGCCAGCAGCCGCGGUAAUACGGAGGGUGCAAGCGUUAUCCGGAUUCACUGGGUUUAAAGGGUGCGUAGGUGGGCAGGUAAGUCAGUGGUGAAAUCUCCGGGCUUAACCCGGAAAGUGCCGUUGAUACUAUUUGUCUUGAAUCUUGUGGAGGUAAGCGGAAUAUGUCAUGUAGCGGUGAAAUGCUUAGAUAGGACAUAGAACACCAAUUGCGAAGGCAGCUUACUACACAAUCAUUGACGCUGAGGCACGAAAGCGUGGGGAUCAAACA
RNAcentral lists this ribosomal RNA (422 nucleotides) under uncultured bacterium. RNAcentral describes it as "bacterial SSU rRNA". It matches the Rfam family "Bacterial small subunit ribosomal RNA", at positions 355 to 774 of the family's 1533-position model. The record is from RNAcentral.